Long non-coding RNA from Stegostoma tigrinum, 841 nucleotides. RefSeq lists it as uncharacterized. The transcript is spliced from 3 exons. The record is from RefSeq and is a predicted model, not a curated record. NCBI's taxonomy places the organism in Eukaryota, Metazoa, Chordata, Chondrichthyes, Orectolobiformes, Stegostomatidae.
GCUCUGUUGAAUACAGCACUGUUUUUUCCUGUUGCACAGACAGUUUUGAUCCCAUUUAACAGCAGCUACGUGCGAGAGGUAUCUUCAAAUAUUGGCAGAAUUAUUGUUCAGCAACAAGUGUCACAUCAUAUUUCGAAUGAGGAUGGGUGCAAGAAUCUCACAACAGGAAUAAAUUUACGAUGAGAAAAAUAAUUGCUCGUCGUCGGAUGUUGGGCAAUACUGUCAUGGGAUUCUUCUUGUUCCUUCCGAAAUCAGGAAAUGAAACUGCACCAUUGUCUAAACAUUAAUCCUAUACUUGACUCUCAAACUCUGGUAGAACUUUUAUCAGUGCCUGGAAUAUUCUAUGCAAUGCUCUGCUUGGAGAUGUGGUGGAGGAAGGUUCAGUGGAAGCAUUCAAGACGGCAUCGGAUGAUUAUUUGGAUUGAAAUAGAGGGCGAGGGUAUGGGUGAAGCAGGAGAUUAACGCUGUUGCUGCUCGUUUGAAGAGCUAGUGCAGAAAGGAUGGGCCAAAUGCUCUCCUUCUGGGGAGUAACUGUUCUGUGGAUCUGUGAUGGUGACUGAGACACCCAUUAAAUUGGCCAGUGUUUCGUGUUCUUGCUGAGAAAUUUCGAGCGUUUGUGUUAUUAUGUCCCAGACCAAUCCCUACCCUCAAAAAUUAUAUUAAAAAGAUAGUCCAGGCGCCAACGUUUUCUUAUUUUAAAGAUACAUUUAAGGUGGUGUGCUCCUGACGUAAUUUUAUUGGUCAAACUAUUCAACUUUAAGCAAAACAUACUUUACUUUUACAUUACAGUUAAAAUAGAGACAAAAUGAAAAGAAGAGGAUUGGCUUGACCAUAACUCCAU